Molecule: ribosomal RNA, 811 nt
Filed under: uncultured bacterium
Lineage: Bacteria
Description: bacterial SSU rRNA
Rfam family: Bacterial small subunit ribosomal RNA
Source: RNAcentral
GUCGAACGGGGUUAUCAUUUUUGAAGCGAUUAGCUUGCUAAGAGUGGCAAAGUUGAUAACUUAGUGGCGGACGGGUGAGUAACGCGUGGGUAACCUGCCUUACACAGGGGGAUAACACUUAGAAAUAGGUGCUAAUACCGCAUAAGCGCACAGUCCCGCAUGGGACAGAGUGAAAAACAUUAGUGGUGUAAGAUGGACCCGCGUCUGAUUAGCUUGUUGGCGGGGUAACGGCCCACCAAGGCGACGAUCAGUAGCCGGCCUGAGAGGGUGGACGGCCACAUUGGGACUGAGACACGGCCCAAACUCCUACGGGAGGCAGCAGUGGGGGAUAUUGGACAAUGGGGGAAACCCUGAUCCAGCGACGCCGCGUGAGUGAAGAAGUAUUUCGGUAUGUAAAGCUCUAUCAGCAGGGAAGAAAGAAAUGACGGUACCUGAGUAAGAAGCCCCGGCUAACUACGUGCCAGCAGCCGCGGUAAUACGUAGGGGGCAAGCGUUAUCCGGAAUUACUGGGUGUAGAGGGAGCGUAGACGGUAAUGCAAGUCUGGAGUGAAAGGCGGGGGCCCAACCCCCGGACUGCUCUGGAAACUGUGUAACUGGAGUGCAGGAGAGGCAGGCGGAAUUCCUAGUGUAGCGGUGAAAUGCGUAGAUAUUAGGAGGAACACCAGUGGCGAAGGCGGCCUGCUGGACUGUAACUGACGUUGAGGCUCGAAAGCGUGGGGAGCAAACAGGAUUAGAUACCCUGGUAGUCCACGCCGUAAACGAUGAUUACUAGGUGUGGGUGGGUAUGGACCCAUCGGUGCCGCAGCAAACG